GGAGGGUGCAAGCGUUAAUCAGAAUUACUGGGCGUAAAGAGCGCGUAGGUGGUUUUUAAGUCAGGUGUGAAAUCCCUAGGCUCAACCUAGGAACUGCAUUUGAAACUGGAAAACUAGAGUUUCGUAGAGGGAGGUAGAAUUCUAGGUGUAGCGGUGAAAUGCGUAGAUAUCUGGAGGAAUACCCGUGGCGAAAGCGGCCUCCUAAACGAAAACUGACACUGAGGCGCGAAAGCGUGGGAGCAAACAGGAUUAGAUACCCCUGGUAGUCCAUGCCGUAAACGAUGUCGACUUGGAGGUUGUUUCCAAGAGAAGUGACUUCCGAAGCUAACGCAUUAAGUCGACCGCCUGGGGAGUACGGCCGCAAGGCUA
Molecule: ribosomal RNA, 369 nt
Filed under: uncultured bacterium
Lineage: Bacteria
Description: bacterial SSU rRNA
Rfam family: Bacterial small subunit ribosomal RNA
Source: RNAcentral